CAGCAGCCGCGGGAAUACAGAGGGUGCGAGCGUUAAUCGGAUUUACUGGGCGUAAAGCGUGCGUAGGCGGCUUCUUAAGUCGGAUGUGAAAUCCCUGAGCUUAACUUAGGAAUUGCAUUCGAUACUGGGAAGCUAGAGUAUGGGAGAGGAUGGUAGAAUUCCAGGUGUAGCGGUGAAAUGCGUAAAGAUCUGGAGGAAUACCGAUGGCGAAGGCAGCCAUCUGGCCUAAUACUGACGCUGAGGUACGAAAGCAUGGGGAGCAAACAGGAUUAGAGACCCCCGUAGUCCCUGUCUCUUAUAC
RNAcentral lists this ribosomal RNA (301 nucleotides) under uncultured bacterium. RNAcentral describes it as "partial 16S ribosomal RNA". It matches the Rfam family "Bacterial small subunit ribosomal RNA", at positions 509 to 807 of the family's 1533-position model. The record is from RNAcentral.